AGUGAACGCUGGCGGUAGGCCUAACACAUGCAAGUCGAACGGCAGCACAGGAGAGCUUGCUCUCUGGGUGGCGAGUGGCGGACGGGUGAGGAAUACAUCGGAAUCUACUCUGUCGUGGGGGAUAACGUAGGGAAACUUACGCUAAUACCGCAUACGACCUACGGUCGAAAGCAGGGGAUCUUCGGUCCUUGCGCGAUUGACUGAGCCGAUGUCGGAUUAGCUAGCUGGUGGGGUAAAGGCCCACCAAGGCGUCGAUCCGUAGCUGGUCUGAGAGGAUGAUCAGCCACACUGGGCCUUCCUCUCCUUCCAGACUCCUACGGGAGGACUCCUUUAUUCCUCUUGGACAAUGGGCACAUGCCUAAUCCCUCCUUCCCGCGUGGGUGAAGAAGGCCUGCUCUUUUUAAACCCCUUUUCUUCUUCCUCCCCUCCAGCUGGCUAAUCCCCUCUUUUCCUUCCCGUCCCCCCCUCCUCUCCUCCGGCUAACUUCGUGCCAGCAGCCGCCGUAC
RNAcentral lists this ribosomal RNA (506 nucleotides) under uncultured bacterium. RNAcentral describes it as "partial 16S ribosomal RNA". It matches the Rfam family "Bacterial small subunit ribosomal RNA", at positions 29 to 523 of the family's 1533-position model. The record is from RNAcentral.